Molecule: ribosomal RNA, 497 nt
Filed under: uncultured bacterium
Lineage: Bacteria
Description: partial 16S ribosomal RNA
Rfam family: Bacterial small subunit ribosomal RNA
Source: RNAcentral
GAUGAACGCUGGCGGCGUGCCUAAUACAUGCAAGUCGAGUGAACAGACGAGGAGCUUGCUCCUCUGACGUUAGCGGCGGACGGGUGAGUAACACGUGGAUAACCUACCUAUAAGACUGGGAUAACUUCGGGAAACCGGAGCUAAUACCGGAUAAUAUAUUGAACCGCAUGGUUCAAUAGUGAAAGACGGUUCUGCUGUCACUUAUAGAUGGAUCCGCGCCGCAUUAGCUAGUUGGUAAGGUAACGGCUUACCAAGGCAACGAUGCGUAGCCGACCUGAGAGGGUGAUCGGCCACACUGGAACUGAGACACGGUCCAGACUCCUACGGGAGGCAGCAGUAGGGAAUCUUCCGCAAUGGGCGAAAGCUUGACGGAGCAACGCCGCGUGAGUGAUGAAGGUCUUCGGAUCGUAAAACUCUGUUAUUAGGGAAGAACAAAUGUGUAAGUAACUAUGCACGUCUUGACGGUACCUAAUCAGAAAGCCACGGCUAACUACGUG